RNAcentral lists this ribosomal RNA (499 nucleotides) under uncultured bacterium. Its description in RNAcentral is "partial 16S ribosomal RNA". It matches the Rfam family "Bacterial small subunit ribosomal RNA", at positions 28 to 523 of the family's 1533-position model. The record is from RNAcentral.
GACGAACGCUGGCGGCGUGCUUAACACAUGCAAGUCGAGCGGAAAGGCCCUUUUGGGGGUACUCGAGCGGCGAACGGGUGAGUAACACGUGAGUAAUCUGCCCGAUGGAGGGGGAUAACUACUGGAAACGGUAGCUAAUACCGCAUAACGUCGCAAGACCAAGGUGGGGGACCUUCGGGCCUCACACCAUCGGAUGUGCCCAGAUGGGAUUAGCUAGUAGGUGGGGUAAUGGCUCACCUAGGCGACGAUCCCUAGCUGGUCUGAGAGGAUGACCAGCCACACUGGAAAUGAGACACGGUCCAGACUCCUACGGGAGGCAGCAGUGGGGAAUAUUGCACAAUGGGCGCAAGCCUGAUACAGCCAUGCCGCGUGUAUGAAGAAGGCCUUCGGGUUGUAAAGUACUUUCAGCGGGGAGGAAGGCGGUGAAGUUAAUAGCUUCACCGAUUGACGUUACCCGCAGAAGAAGCACCGGCUAACUCCGUGCCAGCCGCCGCAGUAA